Pseudopipra pipra is the source of this 515-nucleotide long non-coding RNA. RefSeq lists it as uncharacterized. The transcript is spliced from 2 exons. The record is from RefSeq and is a predicted model, not a curated record. Lineage: Eukaryota; Metazoa; Chordata; Aves; Passeriformes; Pipridae.
CCUCGCGUCCCCCCGCGCUCCGCCGCCAGCACCAUCGGCACCGAAUGGCAACGGCGCGCCCGGCACGGGCAGGGCGUGCGCCGGCCGCGGUCCCGGGCGCGCCGCGGGCGGGCGGGCGGGGGCCGGGCCGGGCCGCUGGCCCCGAGCCGGGCCGGGUCGGGCCGGGCGAGCCGGACCGCGGCCAGCGGAGCGCGGCCCCGCGCCGGGCGCGCGCAUGCCCGGCGCGGCCCCGUGAAGCACUAGAUACAACAAUGAGCCGCAGCUGCCCCAUCUCCGGCGACAGGCACUGAUUGCUUCCUGGAGCAGGAGGACAUCUGCUACGAAUCUCAGCUGAACACCAACCAUACAAUAUGUAUUGUAAUCUACCUGGUUGUUCUUAACAGGCAUCGAAUAAACACAGUCUUGGAACGUCAAAUUCCAAGGCCAGACAUUACAAUAAAAGAUCGGCAAACUCGCUUUAGCCAUAGACUGCGUAAAAGUAAAAAAAAAUAAAUCAUGUACUAAUAAAAACUCAA